AUUGAACGCUGGCGGCAGGCCUAACACAUGCAAGUCGAGCGGAUGAAGGGAGCUUGCUCCUGGAUUCAGCGGCGGACGGGUGAGUAAUGCCUAGGAAUCUGCCUGGUAGUGGGGGAUAACGUCCGGAAACGGGCGCUAAUACCGCAUACGUCCAGAGGGAGAAAGUGGGGGAUCUUCGGACCUCACGCUAUCACAUGAGCCUAGGUCGGAUUAGCUAGUUGGUGGGGUAAAGGCCUACCAAGGCGACGAUCCGUAACUGGUCUGAGAGGAUGAUUAGUCACACUGGAACUGAGACACGGUCCAGACUCCUACGGGAGGCAGCAGUGGGGAAUAUUGGACAAUGGGCGCAAGCCUGAUCCAGCCAUGCCGCGUGUGUGAAGAAGGUCUUCGGAUUGUAAAGCACUUUAAGUUGGGAGGAAGGGCAGUAAGUUAAUACCUUGCUGUUUUGACGUUACCAACAGAAUAAGCACCGGCUAACUUCGUG
Molecule: ribosomal RNA, 484 nt
Filed under: uncultured bacterium
Lineage: Bacteria
Description: partial 16S ribosomal RNA
Rfam family: Bacterial small subunit ribosomal RNA
Source: RNAcentral